CGAAGAGGUCACACCCGUUCCCAUGCCGAACACGGAAGUUAAGCUCUUCAGCGCCGAUGGUAGUCGGGGGUUUCCUCCUGUGAGAGUAGGAC
RNAcentral lists this ribosomal RNA (92 nucleotides) under Bacillus velezensis. The record is from RNAcentral. Lineage: Bacteria; Bacillati; Bacillota; Bacilli; Caryophanales; Bacillaceae.